UUUUCACCAACAUGUGACCUCAAGAAGCAGGGCCAUGUCUCCCUGCUCUGGAGUUCCAUUGACGUCCAAUGCAGAACCUGGGGCCAGAAGGUGCUGGAGACUUGGGAGGAAAAGAGGGAAGGAGAGGAAGAGAGGAAGAAAAGAGAACAAAGACAGGAGGAAGACCAGGAGAGAGAAGGCAGUGGAGAGAAGGUGGAGGGCUGGAAGGGAAAGAGCAGGCUCGAUCUGCCAACAGAGCUGGCCGUGCACACAGGUCCAGUGCUUACAUGCAGCCCUCCUGUGACUGUACUUUUGUUUCACCUUUCUGAAGACAAAAUUGGCCUUUCCUGAGGGAUGGGUCUCUGGGCAGCAGGGCACUGGAGUGGCCAAGACUUCAGGGCUGCACACUCCGAUUUCCAGGCCUAGCUCCACGUGACCCCACUCACGUGCUUUGUAAAGCACGGGUGACGUUAUUCUGAGCAUGGACUUGCAGAGAGACACGUGAUGCUCAGAUCUGGAUACCUGGAGGCACCGUGAAAAAGGACACCCUCCCUUCCCCCGCCUCCGUGGUCACCGAAGACCCGGUAUCCAAACCUGGAGAUAUCUGAGAAACCACAGUGACUCCUCCAUCACAUCACUUCAUGUACUGCGCAGCAAACUACCUGACAGGAAGCAACUCAACGGAGGAAGAGUUCAUCCUGGGUCAGUCUGAGGACGCAGCACAUCAUGGAAGGAAAAUGCGCGAGGCAGCUGCAUCCACUGUCAGGAAGCGGAGAGAGAAGAAUGCUGGUGCCCAGCUCCCUCUCUCCGUCUUGUGUAGCUCCAGAUCACCUGCCCGGGGGAUGAUGGUUCCACCAGCUCAGAUGGGUCUUUGCACAUCAGUGAACAUAAUCAAAAUAGUCCCCCCAAAGGCGUGCCUACAGCGAUCUGUCUACGACCUAACAAUGCAGUUAUAUCCAGGUGAUUCAAGAUCGUAGCUCACCUUAUCCUAUCCUGUCAGGCUGAUGACACUAAUAUCACCUCCCCCCUCACACACACACACACACACACACACACACACACACACACACACACACACACACCUACAGUCACAUGGAUCAGGUUGGCUCCAGUACAUACAUCAAGGAAGAUCCAGGUGUCCUGAAGACAAGGAGAAGUAUGAUCCUCAGACACGAUCCCUCCAGGAAGGAAGGGAUCAGUGGAGUAUGACACAGGGGCAUGCCCAGCUUCUGGUCCAGAGGGACAGCUUCAGGCCCACCUUCUAACGAAUGGCAGGGAAUCUGCCCCAGAUUCCAGGUUUUACAAACCAAUUAGAUUACCCUGGCGGAACCUGCUGGAGCCUGCUGGAGCCUGCUGGAGCCUGCUGGAGCCUGGUGGAACCUGCUGGAGCCUGCUGGAGCCUGCUGGAGCCUGCUGGAGCCUGCUGGAGCCUGCUGGAGCCUGCUGGAGCCUGCUGGAGCCUGAUUCUCUAUCCUGUUACUUAGCAUGUGACUCUGAAGUUCAGGUAUCCAAUCUGCUAUGUGGCCAUCAUAUUAUUAAUGCCUGCUGGGGCUAUGGAGAGAGUUGAGAAAAGAUUAUUGCUAAGUGUUGGGUACAGUGUCUGUCUCCUAACUAUGUAGCAUUGCUAUUAACCCUCUGUGGCUGUCUUGUAAGGUGCUUUCAAAGCUGAGCCCUCAUGGGUGGGAUGUGUAUAUGUGCAUCCGCUGCAUUUCGUGUGUCAUUCGCACUCACCCGUGUAGAGGCUGAGGUUUCUGUCACAUGUCUUCCUUGAUUUCUCUCUACCUUAUUUUUUGAGACAGUCUCUCACUACACCUAAGGCUUGCCUUUACCAGAGAGGCCUAGGUACCUUCUUGUCUCUGCCUGACCAGUGCUGGGAUUAAAGACAUGUGCUGUCCU
This 1875-nucleotide long non-coding RNA is filed under the name Mus musculus (house mouse). Its description in RNAcentral is "long non-coding RNA chr2:173465313-173467188". The record is from RNAcentral. Lineage: Eukaryota; Metazoa; Chordata; Mammalia; Rodentia; Muridae.